AAAGAUUUAGUUUAAAACUUUAAAAAACAUUAAAUUGUCAAUUUAAAAAUAUUUUAAUUAAUACUCUUUU
RNAcentral lists this transfer RNA (70 nucleotides) under Acropyga fuhrmanni. RNAcentral's name for it is "tRNA-Asp". Lineage: Eukaryota; Metazoa; Arthropoda; Insecta; Hymenoptera; Formicidae. The record is from RNAcentral.